UACGGGAGGCAGCAGUGGGGAAUAUUGCACAAUGGGCGCAAGCCUGAUGCAGCCAGUGCCGCGUGUAUGAAAAAGGCCUUCGGGUUGUAAAGUACUUUCAGUCGUGAGGAAGGUGUUAAGGUUAAUAACCUUAGCAAUUGACGUUAGCGACAGAAGAAGCACCGGCUAACUCCGUGCCAGCAGCCGCGGUAAUACGGAGGGUGCGAGCGUUAAAUCGGAAUUACUGGGCGUAAAGGGCACGCAGGCGGUUAAUUAAGUUGGAUGUGAAAUCCCCCGGGCUUAAACCUGGGAAUGGCAUUCAAGACUGGUUAGCUAGAGUCUUGUAGAGGGGGUAGAAUUCCAUGUGUAGCGGUGAAAUGCGUAGAGAUGUGGAGGAAUACCGGUGGCGAAGGCGGCCCCGUGGACAAAGACUGACGCUCAUGUGCGAAAGCGUGGGGAGCAAACAGGGAUAGAUACC
Molecule: ribosomal RNA, 457 nt
Filed under: uncultured bacterium
Lineage: Bacteria
Description: bacterial SSU rRNA
Rfam family: Bacterial small subunit ribosomal RNA
Source: RNAcentral